UACGUAGGGUGCAAGCGUUGUCCGGAAUUAUUGGGCGUAAAGAGCUCGUAGGCGGUUAGUCGCGUCUGCUGUGAAAACUCGGGGCUUAACUCCGGGCCUGCAGUGGGUACGGGCUGACUAGAGUGCGGUAGGGGAGACUGGAAUUCCUGGUGUAGCGGUGAAAUGCGCAGAUAUCAGGAGGAACACCGGUGGCGAAGGCGGCCAUCUGGACCGCAACUGACGCUGAGGCGCGAAAGCGUGGGGAGCAAACAGG
Molecule: ribosomal RNA, 253 nt
Filed under: uncultured bacterium
Lineage: Bacteria
Description: partial 16S ribosomal RNA
Rfam family: Bacterial small subunit ribosomal RNA
Source: RNAcentral